This 441-nucleotide long non-coding RNA is filed under the name Gallus gallus (chicken). Lineage: Eukaryota; Metazoa; Chordata; Aves; Galliformes; Phasianidae. The record is from RNAcentral.
GGAAUCAAUCCUUGAGCACGAGAAGGCUGGAGUGCAGAACCAGGAAAGAGAGGAUGCACCCUCCUCCAUCCAUACUUUUAUACAGUGAUCAGCAAUCACCAUCCAUUCCUCGGUGGAUUGUGUGCAUCUCACCCUCUCCAUCUCCUUGCUCAGGCCUGGGGCUGCUUGCCAAGGGCACGGGGCUUCCAUGCAUACCUGCUUUUCUACAGACAUCUGAGUAGAGAAGAGAUAGCGCCGGCAAACAGAUGUCGGCAGCUCCUCGCUGGGGAGCGGUCCCUCUGGACGCGUCGGGUCGGCCAGGAGCACCGGUGCCUUUCAGCAUUGUCCUAAAACUCCCAGCCCGAACCGUGCCGCGGGUUCCCACAGCUGCGCUCACAAAGGAGACACAACGGGCUCCUCUGGGGACAAAACCUAAUCUGAGAGAUACCAGGCUGAGAAAGC